This 402-nucleotide ribosomal RNA is filed under the name uncultured bacterium. RNAcentral describes it as "bacterial SSU rRNA". It matches the Rfam family "Bacterial small subunit ribosomal RNA", at positions 29 to 457 of the family's 1533-position model. The record is from RNAcentral.
AACGAACGCUGGCGGCAUGCCUAACACAUGCAAGUCGAACGAGACCUUCGGGUCUAGUGGCGCACGGGUGCGUAACGCGUGGGAACCUGCCUUUAGGUUCGGAAUAACUCAGAGAAAUUUGAGCUAAUACCGGAUAAUGUCUUCGGACCAAAGAUUUAUCGCCUUUAGAUGGGCCCGCGUUGGAUUAGCUAGUUGGUGGGGUAAAGGCCUACCAAGGCGACGAUCCAUAGCUGGUCUGAGAGGAUGAUCAGCCACACUGGGACUGAGACACGGCCCAGACUCCUACGGGAGGCAGCAGUGGGGGAAUAUUGGACAAUGGGCGAAAGCCUGAUCCAGCAAUGCCGCGUGAGUGAUGAAGGCCUUAGGGUUGUAAAGCUCUUUUACCCGUAGAUGAUAAUAGAC